RNAcentral lists this ribosomal RNA (420 nucleotides) under bacterium. Its description in RNAcentral is "partial 16S ribosomal RNA". It matches the Rfam family "Bacterial small subunit ribosomal RNA", at positions 355 to 776 of the family's 1533-position model. The record is from RNAcentral.
UGGGGGAUAUUGCACAAUGGGCGAAAGCCUGAUGCAGCGACGCCGCGUGGGGGAUGAAGACUUUCGGGUUGUAAACCUCUUUCGCUAUCGAACAAGGCCCGCUUAGGGUGGGUUGAGGGUAGGUGGAGAAGAAGCGCCGGCUAACUACGUGCCAGCAGCCGCGGUAAUACGUAGGGCGCGAGCGUUGUCCGGAAUUAUUGGGCGUAAAGGGCUUGUAGGCGGCUUGUUGCGCCUGCUGUGAAAACGCGGGGCUUAACUUCGCGCGUGCAGUGGGUACGGGCAGGCUUGAGUGUGGUAGGGGUGACUGGAAUUCCAGGUGUAGCGGUGGAAUGCGCAGAUAUCUGGAGGAACACCGAUGGCGAAGGCAGGUCACUGGGCCAUUACUGACGCUGAGGAGCGAAAGCAUGGGUAGCGAACAGG